This 621-nucleotide ribosomal RNA is filed under the name Triticum aestivum (bread wheat). Its description in RNAcentral is "partial small subunit ribosomal RNA". The record is from RNAcentral. Lineage: Eukaryota; Viridiplantae; Streptophyta; Magnoliopsida; Poales; Poaceae.
AUGAAAGAAAAACAAGCACUUAAGAGGGAGAGGGAAAAUGCCCGGUAUGAGCAACAUGAAGAAGGGAUAUUACAGAGCCUACGUGAGAAACGGUGCCGAGCCAAAUCUACAGUUGUCCCAACAACCGGAGAACAAACUCAAUCCAGUACAGCCGAUGAAGAUUGUGAUUGGCUACACAAAAAUGAUACAUACCAGAUGCAAAACAUUGGAGGGAGGAUGACGCCAGUCAACAUACUCAGUCAUAAAUACGUAUAUAAAUUGCAUGACUGCGAUGGAGCAUCUAUAGAUGACAUGGAUGCUGCACCAGUAUGGGUAUUAAAUAGAGCCAAAGAAUAUUUUGAAAAUGAUAUGAUAUUCAUUCCAAUAAACAUGGACGACGUUCACUGCUACCUAUGUGUUAUAAAUGCUAGAAAACUAUGUGUUCAAGUGCUCGACUCGCUAGGCCCAUCAAUGAAUCGCAAGGACCUCACUGAUACGCUAGAAGGACCGGAGGAUUUAUUCAAAUAUGCAUCCGAGCACAUGGAAUUAAAAUCCAAUAAGUGGACUGAUCUAAGUGUUACAACAUGGAAAAGAGAAGAAUAUAUUAAGAGCAGUCUUCAGACGGAUGGGUACGCCUCCUAA